Molecule: ribosomal RNA, 468 nt
Filed under: uncultured bacterium
Lineage: Bacteria
Description: partial 16S ribosomal RNA
Rfam family: Bacterial small subunit ribosomal RNA
Source: RNAcentral
GACGAACGCUGGCGGCGUGCUUAACACAUGCAAGUCGAACGGAGAAGCCCUUCUUUUGUGAGUUGCUCGGGUGGCGAACGGGUGGGGAACACGAGAGUAACCUACCCUGCACUUUGGUAUAACUUCAGGGCACUGAGGCUUAGACCGUAUGGGAGCUCCUGCUGCAUGCUGGGGGUUGGAAUGUUUCAGCUGUUGGGGAUGGAUGGGGGGGUUUUGAGGUUGUUGGUGGGGUUGUGGCUUACAUAGGCUUUGACGGGUGGCCGGCCUGAGAGGGUGACCGGCCACAUUGGGACUGAGAUACGGCCCAGACUCGUAGGGUAGGGAGCAGUGGGGAAUAUUGUAAAAUGGGCGGAAGGCGGAUGCAGCAACGCCGCGUGCGGGAUGACGGCCUUCGGGUUGUAAAGCGCUUCCGCCUGGGACGAAGCGUGAUUGACGGUAAUGGGUAAAGAAGCACCGGCUAACUACGUG